AACGCACAUUGCGCCCCUUGGUUAUUCCUCGGGGCAUGCCUAUUCGAGCGUCGUUUCGUCCCUCGAGCGCAAGCUUGGUGUUGGGGGCUGCCGCAGCCGCGAGGCGGCGGCACCCCUGGAAUCCAUCGGCGGCGGCAGCAUGGCCCGGAACGCAGCAGCGAUGCGGUUUCCAUGGGCCCGCGCAGCCAGCCGGAAAACAUCCGCCACGGCGGCAUCACGCUCGACCUCGAAUUAGGCAGGGAUACCCGCUGAACUUAA
RNAcentral lists this unclassified non-coding RNA (258 nucleotides) under Ascochyta sp. Its description in RNAcentral is "partial contains 5.8S ribosomal RNA, internal transcribed spacer 2, and large subunit ribosomal RNA". RNAcentral also lists the same sequence under 1 other name. Lineage: Eukaryota; Fungi; Ascomycota; Dothideomycetes; Pleosporales; Didymellaceae. The record is from RNAcentral.